This is a long non-coding RNA of Homo sapiens (human), 2223 nucleotides long. Ensembl annotates it as CLRN1 antisense RNA 1. Its record names the gene CLRN1-AS1. The record is from Ensembl. Lineage: Eukaryota; Metazoa; Chordata; Mammalia; Primates; Hominidae.
AGCUCAGCUGGAGUGCAAGCUGGGAAUGCAGUCAAGGCUUCAUCCACCCCAGGCAGCUUUCCUGAGCCUUGGGAGACUGGCUCUCAAUGAAUCCAAGCUGCUUUUAUCCUUUGCUGCCUAUCUAGUCUUGUUAACAACAAAGAAGAGGAGAAUGGAGAUUGAGCAACCAGGAAGCAGUCUCAGCCACACCAUCAUAUGGAGAAGUGCCUGUUUCCCAUUCUGCCCGAUUUUAAGUUUCCUGAGGCACCCCCAGCCAUGCAGAACUCUCUGGUGCCUGGCCCACAGGAAGUUUUCACUAAAUAUUGAAAUAAACUGAACUUAGAUUAAACUUUGGUGUCUAACUUAGGAAAAACAACAAGAGUUCUACAAAACUAUUUCUUCACAGGAAAGUCUGAAGCCAGGCCUGCUUAGCAGAGGUCUCCGUAUAGUAGGGAUCUCACUCUUUCAAGAUGUAGGAUCUCAACUGGUUAGCCAGCCCUCUGAGUGAAGCUGGUCAGUUGGGGCUGUGACAACAUAGCACACUCAAAGGGGCAGACCCUUCUCAGCUCCAACAGAUUGGUGUCAUUGGAAAAGGUGGACCCAGUGUAGGCAGACUUUCCUAGAGAGUCCAGAAGUGACUGUGCAAGCCCAAAGCAAUCCAAACAAAUAUUUGUGGACCACCAAGAACCUCUGGUAUGAAGUAAAUAAUAAAGGCAUUGAACAAUAAUAACCUGUCUGUAUAUCCACCAAUGGGACCGAUGGGCCACAGUGUGACAUCUAUCCUAUUCAUGUCAUAAGGGAGAUGAAUUCUACUGUGGGACAGUCUGUGUGACUGCUCGUAGGAGAUUAUCCAAUUCCUUUUGCUCUAAUUUCAUGGUCACCAAAUUUCUGCUUGCUAACUUUGUUUUACAACAAACUUUAGAAAGGAGGUGAUCUGAAUAAGAGGAUAUAUGUUUUUCAGUCUCUGGAAAGGGGUAUUUCUUUGUAUUGAGAAGCCAGAACUCUUGAGUGUGUUGAGCCUUGUAGAGAUUGAACCACUCUGGGUCAGCUGACAAAAUAAGAUUCUGGUGCUGAAAAGCUGAGUAUGUGACCAUGAUAUUAACAGUGACCUAAGUUUGUGUGGCCCCCUUCGUUCUCCAGAAACCAACCAGUCAGCCUUCAUUUUGUAAAUGUAGCAGACACCAUUUUGCUAGUGAAUGAGGUUAAAUCUUUAGCCUUGUCAUUGGUUCGGCUUUGUAAUUUAAAACUCUCUUAUUUUACCCUCUGAUUUUAAAUCCCCAGAUUUUCCUUUCUGUGUCCUUUGCCCCCUGAAGUUUCCAUCUGUCUAGCAACUAAGCACUGUUUGGGUAUCUACUGUCUUCCCCAAGUUGCCUUUACUUUUCUUCUUUACCUUUCUCUUGUUUUAUUUAUUUCUUUCUUUUUUUGAAAUGGAGUCUUGCUCUGUCACCCAGGCGGGAAUGCAGUGGCGCAAUCUCGGCUCAUUGCAACCUCCACCUCCCGGGUUCAAGCAGUUCUCCUGCCUCAGCCUAAUGAGUAGCUGGAAUUACAGGUGUGCACCCCCAUACCUGACUAAGUUUUGUAUUUUCAGUAGAGACGGGGUUUCACCAUGUUGGCCGGGCUGGACUUGAACUCCUAACCUCAGGUGAUCCGCCCUCCUUGGCCUCCCAAAGUGCUGGGAUUACAGGCAUGAGCCACCACACACAGCCUCUCUUGUUUUACUUCUGUCAUUACUUUUUGUUCUUUUAAUUUGGAAACCCACCUGCUUCCUCAGUGUCAUUAUUAAAAACCCACAUGUUACAGGUUCAUUAGGACUGAAACAUUCCUUCAGAGCUGAGCUGACCAACAUGUUAGCCACUAGCCACAUGUGACUAUUGCAUACAUGAAAUGCAAAAUGUGGCUGGUCUGAAAUGAUGGUAUAGGUAUGAAAUUCACACAAGAUUUAGAAUACUGAAGAUAAAAAAGAAUGUAAAGUAUCUCAUUAAUACUUUUUUUGGUAUUGAUCACCUAUUGAAAUGGUAAUAUUUGGUUAUACUGGCUUAAGCAAAUGUACAUUAAAAUUAAUUUCAUCUAUUUCUUUUUACUUCUUUAAUACCAGAAAAUGUAAAAGUACCUAUCUGGCAAGCAAUAUAAAACUAUUGGUCAGUGCUACUUGAGAGUCUUAAUGUCUGUAUUUUUUAUAUCUCUGUAAGCAUAAAUGCUGUAUUAAAAACCCAAUUUGAAUAAACACCCCCAAAUUACUCUUCC